This 253-nucleotide ribosomal RNA is filed under the name uncultured bacterium. RNAcentral describes it as "partial 16S ribosomal RNA". It matches the Rfam family "Bacterial small subunit ribosomal RNA", at positions 524 to 776 of the family's 1533-position model. The record is from RNAcentral.
UACAGAGGUCUCGAGCGUUGUUCGGAUUCAUUGGGCGUAAAGGGUGCGUAGGCGGCGAGGUAAGUCAGGUGUGAAAUCCCGGGGCUCAACUCCGGAACUGCACUUGAUACUGCCUUGCUAGAGUACUGGAGAGGGAACUGGAAUUUACGGUGUAGCAGUGAAAUGCUUAGAUAUCGUAAGGAAGACCAGUGGCGAAGGCGAGUUCCUGGACAGUUACUGACGCUGAGGCACGAAGGCCAGGGGAGCAAACGGG